UACGUAGGGGGCAAGCGUUGUCCGGAAUCAUUGGGCGUAAAGCGCGUGUAGGCGGUUCGGUAAGUCGGCUGUGAAAGUCCAGGGCUCAACCCUGGGAUGCCGGUCGAUACUGCCGGACUAGAGUUCGGAAGAGGCGAGUGGAAUUCCCGGUGUAGCGGUGAAAUGCGCAGAUAUCGGGAGGAACACCAAUGGCGAAGGCAGCUCGCUGGGACGUUACUGACGCUGAGACGCGAAAGCGUGGGGAGCAGACAGG
Molecule: ribosomal RNA, 253 nt
Filed under: uncultured bacterium
Lineage: Bacteria
Description: partial 16S ribosomal RNA
Rfam family: Bacterial small subunit ribosomal RNA
Source: RNAcentral